AAAAAGAUGAAGAAGAAGAAGAAGAAGAAGAAGAAGAAGAAGAAGAAGAAGAAGAAGAAGAAGAAGAAAAGAAAGAGUUUAAUUUUGUCAGUGACAAGAGACGAGACAUUUAAGAAAUUCGUCUCGACAUAUUAAGUGGAACACUAACUUUCCAUUUGUAAUUGGAUCAUCAGUAUCAUUUUUCAACAUGAAACCGGAAUAAUCCCAUAGUUCGAAGUCAUCAUCGGGAACGGUAUUACCGUUGAUUGCACUAGCACCACUAGGACCGCCACCACUAGGACCGCUGCCAGAAGCACCACCGACAGAACCGCCAUUUCUACUACCACUGCCGAUAUAUUUUGACUUCUCGUUCAAUUCUAAUCUAGCAUUCUCAGAAACUGUCUGUGACAAGUGACGGUAAAUUUUUAUUUGACAACUAUCACAAAAACAUUCAAAAUGAAACGAAAACGGAGAAAUCCUUACGUAAUUGUACAUACGGAUAAUUUGUGCUUAAUAAGAGGUGUUCUGCUCUUACGAUGUGGUAACAAAACGACUACAUCUUGAUCUUUGCCUUGUUCUUUCCUAUACUUUGUAUAAGAUUUAACUGUGGAAGCAGUGGCUUUAUUUGUGGAAGAAGCUGCGUGACGUACCGAAUCUUCAUCAUUGUUUGAACAUUUCGAAUAUGCGAUAUUCCUUACAUUAUUAUUUCCACCGUAUGAAACGUUGUGCGUGUUGUUUACCUUUCGAAUCAAAUUUCAUACGACAAAAUUACUAUAUACAUAUAUUAUCGAGCACUCGUAUCAACUUGUAUUUACUAUCGCUCAUGAAAGUUUUGAGAUUCACUUGCGCACAACAAUUGACUGACUGUAGUAUUAUUGAUACGUAUAGAAACAGUCGAAAUGGUGAUUUACAUAUACAAUUUUUUUCGCUCCUCGACAUCGAUUUCAAUUUAAAGAAAUAAUUUAAAAUUAAUUGAAAUAAAUAAUUUAAAGUGCCACAGAAAUAUAUAUAAUAUGCAAUUUAAUGAAUAUGGAGUACAAACAGAAAUGAGAGCGCGAUUAAAUAAAUCAAAUUUAUUCGAAUUUGACACACUCGUAAGUUUGUUACUUAAUUGUUACUUAACUGUACUAAACUUACUUGUACUAAUAUGUGACAAGCUUGAGAUGCAAUUUGAAAGAGACCAUCUUGUAAGUUACGUCCACCGUGUUCGGUAUUUUCAGAACGAUUGCUCCCUUUCCAAGCGAAGAAAGACAUUCCGAUGCAUCUACUAUAAUUCAAGAAGAGUAUUUUUGUAAGAAGAAACUUGGAAAACUAUGCGCGUGAAAUAUAAUUAAAAUCUUUCGUGGAAAUAAAAGUAAAUAAAAGCAAAUGAAAAAAUAAUUAAUAACGAGGAAUUAUUUAAUAAAACGAAACGAACAAAUAGAUUUUACUAUACUUGUAACAAUCUCGUUUGGUCGUAACAAAAAAUACACACUAUCUAUCUCGUGCUUUCUUCGUUAAAGGUAUAAACAGUGAAUUGUUAUUACCUACUAAGUAAACAUUUUCUUGCGGAUCGAAACAUGCGAAGAAAUAAAAACGAAUAAAGGAAAGAUUUAAGCCGGGAUUUAAACAGAAGGUUUGAAAUUAUUUAAAAGGGAAAUUGGCGUGUGUCUGUACGUGUAAAAACAAUUCAGUGUCCAAUGUGGAAGCACAUCAAGUCCAAAUUGGAUAAAACAUACCGUGAUGGAAGAAAUUUUUGGUAACAUUUGCACACGUGCAACGUUCUAAACGUUGCGACCGUCGACCUACCUACCAACGUAUUUUACGAAACGACGUGUCGAUCGAAAAGUCGUAUUUGCUGCGCGAUGGACUUGCGCUCAAGAGCUUUCUGUGACCUACAUACAUACAUACUUGGUCAUCAAAACUUUCAAAACGGUACUCUUUUACUACAUUGCCGCCAACUAUUUCUUUAUCCGCGUGUCUUCAUUAAAUUCGAUACGCUCAUAUGCACAAUUGAUGAAUCGCACAAUAUAUGUGCGUUCCCUGUGUGCUAUACAUGAUAAUAGCAACAUUAGGAAGUUCAGAAAUGCUACAAGGAAAAAAAGAAUAAUAAAAAUGCAGAUAAUCUCCGGUACAAUUGUAUAAUUAUAUAACAAUAUGCAAUAAUAUACAAAUUAUACAAUUAUAUAUAUAAAAUUCUUUAUCUAUCGAUACGUAAGUAUGUGUUAUGUUUGUGUGAUUAUCGAUAUUUCACUCGUACAUAUAAUGUCCGACCACCAACAAUACUUAAGUAUGGCAAUGUAAAAUCACGUACGUCACGUACAUCAGGAGAUGUAAUA
This is a long non-coding RNA of Frieseomelitta varia, 2297 nucleotides long. RefSeq lists it as uncharacterized. The transcript has 3 exons. The record is from RefSeq and is a predicted model, not a curated record. Lineage: Eukaryota; Metazoa; Arthropoda; Insecta; Hymenoptera; Apidae.